Molecule: long non-coding RNA, 1986 nt
Organism: Esox lucius (northern pike)
Lineage: Eukaryota; Metazoa; Chordata; Actinopteri; Esociformes; Esocidae
Source: Ensembl
AGAAAACUAACUUCACUCCGGUCUGCCACCAGCACAGCCAUGAACGCGGCUUGACUGUUUUGUAUUGGGUUUAUCCACCUUAACGUUUGAAGGCGGUUCGUCCGUCGCCCGCUCGGCUAGUUCUGAAAAUAUUACAGAGAAACUCAAGUGAUUGUAUUGAACUACUAGUAUCCUCACAUCGCUAUGUUCUCCAUCAGUUCAAAUAAAUCUUUGGUACUCUUGCGGUUCUGCAGCAGGGCUGCUUGUCGGACGAGGACAAGUCGCGUCAAUUGUGAACAUCAGAACUAAGGACAUUCUUGAUGAAGAUGAACGCAAAACGUGUAUGCGGGCCCAUGGAAUCGCUGCUGCUUGCCUUGUUAUCUUUCUCCCUUGUUCGAGGUCACACUACUAGCCGACCAGGUGCGAAUCCGGCGGAGGGCAAUGGUGCUGGGUUCAGUGUCGGCGGUCUGAAGUCGGUCCUGGAGAACACUGUGUCCCCUGCCUUCGGUGCCACCAUCAUCAUCAUCAUCACCGUUAUUGUGUCGGGGAGCGCCUAUCUCUGUUUCCUGAAGUACGUCUGUACGGGCUGCUGCAAAGCCACUCAGGUGGCUCCAGUCACACACCUGGACCCUAACAAGAGUGAAGAACAGGUGUAGUGUGUAACGGGUGUAGUGAGGGACAGGUGUAGUGAGGGACGGGUGUAGUGAGGGACAGGUGUAGUGUGUAACGGGUGUAGUGUGUAACGGGCGUAGUGAGGGACGGGUGUAGUGUGUAAUGAGGCGUAGUGAGGGACGGGUGUAGUGUGUAACAGGUGUAGUGUGUAAUGAGGCGUAGUGUGUAACGGGUGUAGUGUGGGACGGGUGUAGUGUGGGACGGGUGUAGUGUGGGACGGGUGUAGUGUGUAACGGGUGUAGUGUGUAACGGGUGUAGUGUGUAACGGGUGUAGUGAGGGACGGGUGUAGUGUGUAACGGGUGUAGUGUGUAACGGGUGUAGUGUAGGGACGGGUGUAGUGUGUAACGGGUGUAGUGAGGGACGGGUGUAGUGUGUAACGGGUGUAGUGAGGGACGGGUGUAGUGAGGGACGGGUGUAGUGAGGGACGGGUGUAUUGUAGGGAGGUGUGUGGAAUACUGACCUCAUUCUGGACCAUUCUUUCCCUGGCAUUUCAGCACUUGAUGGAAUCCUUCAGUUCAUCUCUUUCAUGUUUAAUGACUGUGAACACGAGUGAUUUAUUGAGCUCAUUGAAGAGUUGUGUGUGUAAGUGAUUACUGUUCUGAUCUUUGCCCGCCACCAACACCUCCCAUCCAAGAGACCCUCAGAGAGACAGACGGAUGUGAUUCAAAAAGAAAGGCUGCAAAAUGAUCACACACAGACAAUAGAAAAUUAAGUGGCUCAACCAAGCCUGACAUUAAUUGAGUAAACUGCCUGUGAGCCUUUGUGUCUGCAGUGGCUUAUGCAUUUGUGUGAUUAUUAAUGUGUGUUUUAUUUGUGUGGGUUUGAGUAUCUAAGUGAGUGUGUGUUUGUUUCCAAAGGGAGCAACCUGCUAUGACUGAUGUGAGAAAGUAGGAACACGUAAUUUCUGGGGAUUUCGAAACCUCACCUCCCUUUUCUGUUUUUCUUUACCUGAUCAUCUCUCUUAUUACAUUUCUUCUUUCUUCCUCCUUAUGAUACAGUACAUAAUCACACCAGAACCAAUUACAGUGCCAAGUCACCAAACAAUAGACAUUUUCAUUUAUGCUGAUUGUCUCCAUGCAAAGCUGCGUGAAGAGAAGCCAAUUGUACUUCCUUAAUCACAACAGAGACACUGUAUCAAACUAAUUAUCCUCACCCACAGAAGCUUUCAACUCAGUUUUUUUUAUAAACUCAGCUUUUGCAGUGUUGCACAGCGCGUUAUUUUCUAAAUGUGUUUUUUUGUUGAAAAUGAGUGAUUAAAAUGUCUCCAUACCCAAUCCAUCCUAAGAGGAUUUAUCUGUGAUGUGUGCCAGAAUGAAAGAUCGAAAGUGACAGGA